GCCAGUGUAGCACAGUGGUUUGGGUAUUGGACUAUGGCUUUGGAGACCAGGGUUCAAUUCCUGUUCGGCCA
Non-coding RNA from Phrynosoma platyrhinos (Desert horned lizard), 71 nucleotides. NCBI's taxonomy places the organism in Eukaryota, Metazoa, Chordata, Lepidosauria, Squamata, Phrynosomatidae. The record is from the annotation of a GenBank genome assembly.